UUCACAUCAAAAUGGCGCUCGCUCACUCGCUGUGCGUAGAACGUAGUACUUGUGUAAACGUGUAAAUAAAUUGGAGAUAGCAUACAAGAAAACAGAAAGGGUUCGCGGUUCAACUUUUUUCUAACGGUUUCCUCGGCGUCCUUUACAAAGUCCAGUUGAUAUCGUGUCCUGUCCACGUCCAGGGUGGAUCAGACCUGAUCUACAAAAUCUUGGAGCAGCCGCUUUCGUCGUAUGCCAUUAAAAAAAUUAAAACAUGCCCGUUAUUAAAAUUUGGUCAGUAGACCAAACAAUCAAGAAAGCUGUUCCAAUAAUGGACCCAACUUUAAAAAAUAUCAUUGAAAAAGGUGAGUAAAUCUAAAUUAAUUUGACUUUUCGUAAUGAAAUAUUUUUUGUGUAAUUGUAGAAUGUAGUGUAUUGUAGAAUAGACUAUAAUUGGAUACCUACUGUUAAGCAUUAAUGUGCUGACUCAAACCACAUUUAUUUUGCAGUAUGAUGUCAAUUUAAAAAUUUGACGCUUGAAGUUGACAAGAUAGAGCUGAUGCUGAACCCUGGCUGUACCUAGUGGAACUCAGGUUUGGUGCAACAUAGGCCCACGCUAUUUUGAUCAUCCGUCACAUAGAGGGAGAGCAAUACCCAAGAUAUAAUUCAUAAUCCAUUUUCUUCCAGAUGAGGUACCAUCCUAAAUAUAGUAGUUCCAUUUACUAAUCUUAUUAACUUUUUCUUUUCCAGGAACCAUUAACCAGGGUUCAAGUUGCAGAGCUAUCCGAAAUAGCUGCGCCUAACAUUGUAUUUUUAGAUAAUGAAAAUAUAAUUAUAUUACUUGCUGGUAGAAAAAACGAUUGUUAGCGAAACUGAGAUUCUGCCUACGUCGUUACAACUAUUGAUGGCGGCUUACUGCAACUUGAAUAUGGAAUGUCCAGUGGACUGUCAAAACACAUUAGA
Long non-coding RNA from Cydia fagiglandana, 942 nucleotides. RefSeq lists it as uncharacterized. The record is from RefSeq and is a predicted model, not a curated record. The transcript is spliced from 4 exons. Lineage: Eukaryota; Metazoa; Arthropoda; Insecta; Lepidoptera; Tortricidae.